Long non-coding RNA from Gasterosteus aculeatus aculeatus (three-spined stickleback), 575 nucleotides. Lineage: Eukaryota; Metazoa; Chordata; Actinopteri; Perciformes; Gasterosteidae. The record is from Ensembl.
ACCGUCUGGAUGUUCCUCGUUCCUGUCUGCCUUUUUGUCCCCGGUUCUUGCGUGUGUUUUUGCCCGUAGGCCUUUUACUUUGUGGAGUUUUUCACUGUUAGUCUGUUUUUCGUUAAAGUCUGCUUUUGAGUCCUGCCUUCCUACCCAAACCCUGACUAAAUAGUCAUAGUAUGCUGGAACAUGCCAUACAAAUUCCUCUCCACCCACAUUCUGCAUGUAGAACCUCCACCUCCAGCCUCCAGCAGUGAACAGCAUCCAUCCUGGAGCAGCCAUCGCACUACAAGUAGAUCUCCAACCUCCUGCAGCCUCUGCCUGCACCUUCAAAUACUUGCUCUCAGGCACUGUCUGCACCUCCACCUCUACCUGAAGAUAUUCACUAACCUUUUGCAGAAACAUCCACCGUUUACAAAAUCAACGUACAAAUUCUCUAAUUUUUCAGAGGUUUCAGUUUAUCGACUGACUCAGUCUGGUGAAUAGAAUCUUUUAGAGAACAAACAGAUAAUAAGUGUAAUAAGAGUCUACCGGGCUGCUGGAUUCAAGCUUUUUAUUUUUAAAUAAUAACAAUCAACACACUU